This 78-nucleotide transfer RNA is filed under the name Paragonimus westermani. RNAcentral's name for it is "tRNA-Arg". The record is from RNAcentral. Lineage: Eukaryota; Metazoa; Platyhelminthes; Trematoda; Plagiorchiida; Troglotrematidae.
GGCUUCUUAGUUCAGCUGGUAGGACGCUUGCCGCCAGUGGACAUGUUUCUGUCGCUGUUUCGAAUGUAGUAGAAGCCC